This 253-nucleotide ribosomal RNA is filed under the name uncultured bacterium. Its description in RNAcentral is "partial 16S ribosomal RNA". It matches the Rfam family "Bacterial small subunit ribosomal RNA", at positions 524 to 776 of the family's 1533-position model. The record is from RNAcentral.
GACGGAGGGUGCUAGCGUUGUUCGGAAUCACUGGGCGUAAAGGGCGCGCAGGCGGCCUCAUAAGUCGGGUGUGAAAGCCCGGGGCUCAACCCCGGAACGGCACCCGAGACGGUGGGGCUGGAGACCGGGAGAGGAGGGUGGAACUGCGAGUAUAGAGGUGAAAUUCGUAGAUAUUCGCAAGAACACCAGUGGCGAAGGCGGCUCACUGGCCCGGUACUGACGCUGAGGUGCGAAAGCGUGGGGAGCAAACAGG